This 1032-nucleotide ribosomal RNA is filed under the name uncultured bacterium. RNAcentral describes it as "bacterial SSU rRNA". It matches the Rfam family "Bacterial small subunit ribosomal RNA", at positions 336 to 1393 of the family's 1533-position model. The record is from RNAcentral.
CUCCUACGGGAGGCAGCAGUGGGGAAUAUUGCACAAUGGGGGAAACCCUGAUGCAGCGACGCCGCGUGGAGGAAGAAGGUCUUCGGAUUGUAAACUCCUGUUGUUGAGGAAGAUAAUGACGGUACUCAACAAGGAAGUGACGGCUAACUACGUGCCAGCAGCCGCGGUAAAACGUAGGUCACAAGCGUUGUCCGGAAUUACUGGGUGUAAAGGGAGCGCAGGCGGGAGAACAAGUUGGAAGUGAAAUCCAUGGGCUCAACCCAUGAACUGCUUUCAAAACUGUUUUUCUUGAGUAGUGCAGAGGUAGGCGGAAUUCCCGGUGUAGCGGUGGAAUGCGUAGAUAUCGGGAGGAACACCAGUGGCGAAGGCGGCCUACUGGGCACCAACUGACGCUGAGGCUCGAAAGUGUGGGUAGCAAACAGGAUUAGAUACCCUGGUAGUCCACACCGUAAACGAUGAUUACUAGGUGUUGGAGGAUUGACCCCUUCAGUGCCGCAGUUAACACAAUAAGUAAUCCACCUGGGGAGUACGGCCGCAAGGUUGAAACUCAAAGGAAUUGACGGGGGCCCGCACAAGCAGUGGAGUAUGUGGUUUAAUUCGACGCAACGCGAAGAACCUUACCAAGUCUUGACAUCCCUUGACGAACAUAGAAAUAUGUUUUCUCUUCGGAGCAAGGAGACAGGUGGUGCAUGGUUGUCGUCAGCUCGUGUCGUGAGAUGUUGGGUUAAGUCCCGCAACGAGCGCAACCCUUAUGGUCAGUUACUACGCAAGAGGACUCUGGCCAGACUGCCGUUGACAAAACGGAGGAAGGUGGGGAUGACGUCAAAUCAUCAUGCCCUUUAUGACUUGGGCUACACACGUACUACAAUGGCGUUAAACAAAGAGAAGCAAGACCGCGAGGUGGAGCAAAACUCAGAAACAACGUCCCAGUUCGGACUGCAGGCUGCAACUCGCCUGCACGAAGUCGGAAUUGCUAGUAAUCGUGGAUCAGCAUGCCACGGUGAAUACGUUCCCGGGCCUUGUACACACCGC